Molecule: ribosomal RNA, 460 nt
Filed under: uncultured bacterium
Lineage: Bacteria
Description: partial 16S ribosomal RNA
Rfam family: Bacterial small subunit ribosomal RNA
Source: RNAcentral
CCUACGGGCGGCAGCAGUGAGGAAUAUUGGUCAAUGGCCGGAAGGCUGAACCAGCCAUGCCGCGUGAAGGUCAGUGCCCUAUGGGCGUUAAACUUCUUUUGUGCGGGAGCAAUAAUGGUCACGUGUGGCCAGACGAGAGUACCGUACGAAUAAGCAUCGGCUAACUCCGUGCCAGCAGCAGCGGUAAUACGGGGGAUGCAAGCGUUAUCCGGAUUAAUUGGGUUUAAGGGGUGCGUAGGCUGUGAGGUAAGGUAGAGGUGAAAUGCCCCCGCUCACCGGGGUGAAGUACCAUUGAUACUGCCUUGCUGGAAGGCGGAUGCCGUGAGAGGAAUGUGUGGUGUAGCGGUGAAAUGCAUAGAUAUCACACAGAACACCGAUUGCGAAGGCAUCUCACGAAUCCGCGAUUGACGCUGAUGCACGAAAGCGUGGGUAUCAAACAGGAUUAGAUACCCCUGUAGUC